RNAcentral lists this ribosomal RNA (254 nucleotides) under uncultured bacterium. RNAcentral describes it as "partial 16S ribosomal RNA". It matches the Rfam family "Bacterial small subunit ribosomal RNA", at positions 524 to 776 of the family's 1533-position model. The record is from RNAcentral.
UACGUAGGGUGCAAGCGUUAUCCGGAAUUAUUGGGCGUAAAGAGCUCGUAGGCGGUUUGUCACGUCUGCUGUGAAAACUGGAGGCUCAACCUCCAGCCUGCAGUGGGUACGGGCAGACUAGAGUGCGGUAGGGGAGAUUGGAAUUCCUGGUGUAGCGGUGGAAUGCGCAGAUAUCAGGAAGAACACCGAUGGCGAAGGCAGUAUCUGGGCCGUAACUGACGCUGAGGAGACGAAAGCGUGGGGGAGCGAACAGG